AUGCCAAGCGUGACAUGCCAGGACUCCAUCCUCAACGGUUUGUGUUCCCUGAGCACAGCGGCCCCUACAUAUGCCAGGAAGAUGCCUCAGGCGCCCAAGGCAAUCUGGCUGAGUGAAGUUCCUGUUGGCACAUUCCUGGGUGAAGACCAGUGUGUUCCCCGCGCAACCUUUGUGGGAUGUGUGACUGCCAUGCUGGCGAGGCUCCUCUGUGUUGGGGACGCGGUGGAAGUUCACGCGGGCAAUGCCGAGUCCACCUUCCUGGAACAGUGGUCUUCGCCCUGCCGUGAGGCUACCUCGGGCACCUGACCCUGGUUGGCACCAGCAGAUUGGCUCGUCCCAGCCUCCUGCAGAUGCUCCCUGAAGCCAUGUCGCUGACCACUUGAGCUGAACCACCCCCCCGGGCACCCCCCCCAUCUUCCUGGACUGCAUUGCCUGGAACGGACACCGUUUGAAGCCAGUCUCCCGGCUCAGGUUUCCCUGAGCACCAGCUUCGUGCCAGAGACUCGCACAUACCCUCCUCUAAUCCUGACAACCACUCUGCCAGGGAGACAUUGGUCGGCUCACUUUACAGCGUCGGAGCUGAAGCUCACACUGGCAUAUGGACUUGCUCAAGGUCACAUGGCCUCUGGGAUCAGAGACCAGCUCAGCUGGCCCAGUCUCCCACCACGCUGCACCGCACACAGGCCCCCCGGCCAGCACAAGGAGAGAGAGGAUGCGUGCCGGUGGGAGUGGUUGGACUGACAGCCCAGAAAACGCUGCCAGAGCCACGCUUGGAUUUGUGGCUCCUUUCUGUCCUUUCUGCUUUUUAAAAUCCGUAUCCAGGGGCCCGCAGUCCUCCCCCCCUGAGAAUCUGCGCAACUGGGAAGUUUUUCUGCUGCCGGCUCUCGGUUUCCAUGGCUAAAAUGGAAGUGAUAAAAAUAACAGCAGGACUCUGAAAAGUGUGGAGCAUCGAUCUCCCGAAAAUAUUUACUGCUUCGGAAAGUCUCUUAACUGAAGGGCUUUUUACGCUAAUGAUAUUAGAAGGCACAAAAGCCCAAGAAACCCUCAGAAGUGAAUUGUAGGAGAGGAAGACAGUGACGGAGUUCGACCAGAGCUUCCCUGAGCCUCUCCUUAUGGGAGAAAGCCCUGGAUUACACAGAUUUCAUCCCUGUAAACUUUGGUGAGUGAGUGAUAAGUCCUUCACCCGCUCAGAUUCCGUAUUGGAAGCAUUGCAUCAUGGAGGCAAGAGCUCAUUGGUUGCCCGGCCUCUGAGCUCCAACCCCAAGCUGCUGGCGUGUGCAAAAACACCUUUUCGUUGGUUUAUCCA
RNAcentral lists this long non-coding RNA (1306 nucleotides) under Felis catus (domestic cat). RNAcentral describes it as "lncRNA (ENSFCAG00000052142.1)". The record is from RNAcentral. Lineage: Eukaryota; Metazoa; Chordata; Mammalia; Carnivora; Felidae.